Molecule: long non-coding RNA, 236 nt
Organism: Lepidothrix coronata (blue-crowned manakin)
Lineage: Eukaryota; Metazoa; Chordata; Aves; Passeriformes; Pipridae
Exons: 3
Source: RefSeq, a predicted model, not a curated record
GCUGAGUGCCACGGCCCAUUGGAAGAGGAAUAGGGACGUGACACUGCACAGAGGGUUCUGGCACGCUUUCCUAUAUUAACUGUCCCUGUGGAUAGAGAUCACACAAGCUCAGUCUGCUCAAUCUGCUCCAGGAAGAGACAGGAAGAAAAUUUAUGAUUAUCAGAAACAAUAUUCUCGACACUCAGACAGGAUCAAGAGAUCAGAGAAGAAAAGAGAUGGACUGGUUUCAAGAAGGU